Molecule: long non-coding RNA, 1098 nt
Organism: Scomber japonicus (chub mackerel)
Lineage: Eukaryota; Metazoa; Chordata; Actinopteri; Scombriformes; Scombridae
Exons: 3
Source: RefSeq, a predicted model, not a curated record
CAGGUCUACAAGGUGGACAUGUGCAAGUGGAUGUCCCACAAAUAGGGCACAUUUAUUUAUUUUUAUAGAGGAGGCUGGCUUUAACCCAGCAAAAAGAAGGCAAUGGGGAUGGAACAUUAUUGGCCACUGUCAAUGUCAAUGUGUAGAGGGAAUAUCACCAUGUGUGCAGCAGUUAGCCAGCAAGGCGUCCUCUAACACCAUGCCAACCUUGGUCCCUGCAACACCAUCUAUCUCAUCACAUUCCUGGACAGACUACAUGGCAUCCUUGUUCCGGCCAAGCAGAAAGGUGGACCAGAACAGCCCAGAUGGAAGGUCCCUUCACACUCAUGCCUCUUCUCCAGGCAAUAGAUCAUGCAUGUGGUAAUGUUGAUGUGGGGGCUUACGACGGCUGGAUAUGUCACUAUAGAAGAUUCUUUGCCCACUAUUUAGCCAGGGAGACGAUCGCUUGUGAUGUAGAUGAGGUGCUGUGGCUAGACCACAAAUGGAGGCAGGAUGCAGUCUAAUUUCUUUUUUCUUACAUUUGUUUUUGUUUUUGUGUUUAGUGUUAAGAAAAAAUGAGCCACAUUACAGAUAUGUAUGCAUAUUCUACAACUAGCUACAGCAGAACACUGAGAAUAUAAAAGGCAUAAACCUACUGAUGAGAUUUACAGUGUUUUGUGUUGAGUACAUCAGUUUGUUGUAUGGUAGAAAUAUGACAGUGUGUGUGUAAUUUUGAUGCAAAAAACAUAUUUUGGAAAGGGAUAAAACAGUUUUGAAUGUUGUGUUUGCUUUUGCUAGUGGUUUUGUGUUUAGAGUUUUGAAGAAAUGAGCCAAAGAUUCGGAAAAAGUGUGUAAACAAUUGUGAAAAAUUCUAAAACAGAACUGUCUCACUUGUGAAAUAUGUCAGCAAGGCUGAGCAAACACUGUCAGAAUAAUAACCGAGGAGAUGAGUGCUGCUGUUGGCCCCAAACGGCCUCUCAGCGAUAGGCUGGAUCAGCACUCCAACUGCUGCUUCCUAGAAAUCAAAGACCAAAAUUGCUGAACUUUGAUUCCUCGCAGAAGGGCGCCAUGUAUGUGUAUAUGUGAGGUCAAAGCUCUUGUUUUGUUUCAUUUGAAUAA